AGUAUCACGCCGGGCUGAACGGAAAUCAUUGAUGUUGAUUAAUAUGGGGACUAGAUACCUCUGGUACUA
Molecule: transfer RNA, 69 nt
Filed under: Koreoleptoxis globus ovalis
Lineage: Eukaryota; Metazoa; Mollusca; Gastropoda; Pleuroceridae
Description: tRNA-Ile
Source: RNAcentral